Molecule: ribosomal RNA, 492 nt
Filed under: uncultured bacterium
Lineage: Bacteria
Description: partial 16S ribosomal RNA
Rfam family: Bacterial small subunit ribosomal RNA
Source: RNAcentral
AGUGAACGCUGGCGGUAGGCCUAACACAUGCAAGUCGAACGGCAGCACAGUAAGAGCUUGCUCUUACGGGUGGCGAGUGGCGGACGGGUGAGGAAUACAUCGGAAUCUACUUUUUCGUGGGGGAUAACGUAGGGAAACUUACGCUAAUACCGCAUACGACCUACGGGUGAAAGCAGGGGAUCUUCGGACCUUGCGCGAUUGAAUGAGCCGAUGUCGGAUUAGCUAAUUGGCGGGGUAAAGGCCCACCAAGGCGACGAUCCGUAGCUGGUCUGAGAGGAUGAUCAGCCACACUGGAACUGAGACACGGUCCAGACUCCUACGGGAGGCAGCAGUGGGGAAUAUUGGACAAUGGGCGCAAGCCUGAUCCAGCCAUACCGCGUGGGUGAAGAAGGCCUUCGGGUUGUAAAGCCCUUUUGUUGGGAAAGAAAAGCAGCAGGUUAAUACCCCGCUGUUCUGACGGUACCCAAAGAAUAAGCACCGGCUAACUUCGUG